UACGAAGGGGGCUAGCGUUGCUCGGAAUCACUGGGCUUAAAGGGCGCGUAGGCGGGCCAGCCAGUCUGUGGUGAAAGCCUCCAGCUUAACUGGAGAAGUGCCGUGGAUACUGCUGGCCUCGAGGAGGAUAGGGGCAUCUGGAACGGUCGGUGGAGCGGUGAAAUGCGUUGAUAUCGACCGGAACUCCGGUGGCGAAGGCGAGGUGCUGGGUCCUUUCUGACGCUGAUGCGCGAAAGCCAGGGGAGCAAACGGG
Molecule: ribosomal RNA, 253 nt
Filed under: uncultured bacterium
Lineage: Bacteria
Description: partial 16S ribosomal RNA
Rfam family: Bacterial small subunit ribosomal RNA
Source: RNAcentral